Molecule: ribosomal RNA, 292 nt
Filed under: uncultured bacterium
Lineage: Bacteria
Description: partial 16S ribosomal RNA
Rfam family: Bacterial small subunit ribosomal RNA
Source: RNAcentral
GUGCCAGCAGCCGCGGUAAUACGGAGGGGGUUAGCGUUGUUCGGAAUGACUGGGCGUAAAGCGCGCGUAGGCGGAUCAGGAAGUUGGGGGUGAAAUCCCGGGGCUCAACCCCGGAAUGGCCUUCAAAACUCCUGGUCUUGAGUUCGAGAGAGGUGAGUGGAAUUCCGAGUGUAGAGGUGAAAUUCGUAGAUAUUCGGAGGAACACCAGUGGCGAAGGCGGCUCACUGGCUCGACACUGACGCUGAGGUGCGAAAGCGUGGGGAGCAAACAGGAUUAGAUACCCCCGUAGUCC